CCUACGGGAGGCAGCAGUGGGGAAUAUUGCACAAUGGGGGAAACCCUGAUGCAGCGACGCCGCGUGAGUGAAGAAGUAAUUCGUUAUGUAAAGCUCUAUCAGCAGGGAAGAAAAUGACGGUACCUGAGUAAGAAGCCCCUGCUAACUACGUGCCAGCAGCCGCGGUAAUACGUAGGGGGCAAGCGUUAUCCGGAUUUACUGGGUGUAACGGGAGCGUAGACGGCAGUGCAAGUCUGGAGUGAAAGGCGGGGGCUCAACCCCCGGACUGCUCUGGAAACUGUACGGCUGGAGUGCAGGAGAGGUGAGUGGAAUUCGUGGUGUAGCGGUGAAAUGCGUAGAUAUUAGGAGGAACAACAGUGGCGAAGGCGGCUUACUGGACUGUAACUGACGUUGAGGCUCGAAAGCGUGGGGAGCAAACAGGAUUAGAUACCCGAGUAGUC
This 440-nucleotide ribosomal RNA is filed under the name uncultured bacterium. RNAcentral describes it as "partial 16S ribosomal RNA". It matches the Rfam family "Bacterial small subunit ribosomal RNA", at positions 338 to 795 of the family's 1533-position model. The record is from RNAcentral.